RNAcentral lists this transfer RNA (70 nucleotides) under Marmota monax (woodchuck). RNAcentral describes it as "tRNA.Ala". It matches the Rfam family "tRNA". Rfam says of the family: Transfer RNA (tRNA) molecules are approximately 80 nucleotides in length. Their secondary structure includes four short double-helical elements and three loops (D, anti-codon, and T loops). Lineage: Eukaryota; Metazoa; Chordata; Mammalia; Rodentia; Sciuridae. The record is from RNAcentral.
GGGUUGUGGCUCUGUGGUAGAGCACUUGCCUAGCAUGUGUGAGGCUCUGGGUUCAAUUCUCAGAAGCCCA